Vespa crabro (European hornet) is the source of this 3822-nucleotide RNA transcript. It is a transcript of the gene named tRNA (uracil-5-)-methyltransferase homolog A, with no coding region annotated. The transcript has 13 exons. The record is from RefSeq and is a predicted model, not a curated record. NCBI's taxonomy places the organism in Eukaryota, Metazoa, Arthropoda, Insecta, Hymenoptera, Vespidae.
ACUUUUUAUUCUAUGAUAUACAAGUGAUUCCAUCAUAGCGAUAUUCUAUCACGUUAAAUGAAAUGUUUCUGCACGUUUAUUGCCAAAUGUGAAGUUUUAAAUAAAAUGUGCAAAUUAUUUGUAUUCAACGCAUUCAACAAUGCGGCAUGGUGAUCUAACCUUAAAUCAUUUAUUCGACGCACUUGUAGAUAAUUGAUAAAAAGAAUUUAUUGAGUGUAUAAAAAUUAAAUUUUUAUAAUGACCGAUUCUGAAACAAAAGAAACUCCAACAGUGGAGGAUACAACGGAGAAAAAUGAAAAUGAUCCGUAUGCUUAUCUCGAAAGGGAUAAUUUCACAUCAGAAAAAUUUAAAGUUGAAGUGCGUGGUUUGCCAAAAUAUUAUGGAAUUGGAGAGUUUAAAAAAUUGUUGAAUGAAAAACUUGAUUUACAAACUUGCAAGGUAAAACCACCGAAACAGUCAAGCGGUUGGCUGUAUGUUUGUUUUAGAAGCGAAGAAUGUCGUCAGCGAGCAAUAUCUACUUUAAAUGGAAUUUUAUGGAAAAACUGUAAGCUUUCUGCGCAGAUCGCUAAACCAGCUCCAGAUCCUUUUGUUAAAAGAAAAUUAGAAGAGAAUAAAAGUAAUAAGAAAUUAAAAAAUGAACAUUACGAUCCAGAUAUGUCGGCUGUGGAUAGAAUUAAAUUUACAACGACUCCUCUUUGGAACAUGCCUUAUUCGAGUCAACUUGAAUUUAAGCAAAAGGAAAUGAGAUCUGUGUUAAUGAAAAUUGGUCAGAAAAUGCUUGAAGGAAACGUACAUUUGUCUGAGUGGAUUAAUUCGCAAAAGAAAUUAUAUGAAAAUUUGCCUUGUGAAUUGAAACCUAUUUUACAUGCCGAAAGUACAGAAGCUUAUAGAAACAAGUGUGAAUUUACGAUUGGUAAGAAUAUAGAAGGUGAUAAAGUUAUAAUUGGAUUUAGAUUGUCUAGUUAUGCUGCUGGUUGUACAGCAGUAGGUCCUAUUGAUGACCUUUGUCACAUUCCUAAAAAUAUGAAAACUGCAGUAAAGACAUUAGAAGAAUUUGUACAAAAUUCUGGAUUAGAACCUUUUAAUCCAGUAGAUCACAGUGGAUAUUGGAAACAAGUUACUGCUAGAACUAGUCGUCUCAAUCAAUUAAUGUUAAUAGUUGGAAUAAAUCCUCAAGAUUUAACCAUUGAAAGGUUAAAAGAGUUACAAAAUCAAUUGAAAGAAUUUUUUGAAUCUGGAAAAGGAUCCACUAUAGAUGUUACAUCACUUUAUUUUCAAACAAUGGAAAAUAAAAGUGUCGGCAGCGAAUCUAGAAACGUUCUACAGCAUAUAAGUGGAACUGAAUAUAUCGAAGAAAUUUUGUUAGAAAAGAAAUUUCGUAUAUCACCACAAGCCUUUUUCCAAGUGAAUACAUUAAGUGCUGAAGUUUUAUAUAAAGCAGUCAUCGAUAUGGCAGAACCAACUAACGACACUACAUUAUUGGAUAUUUGUUGCGGAACUGGAACUAUAGGUUUAUCAUUCUCAAAGCAUUGCGGUGAAGUGUUAGGAGUAGAAGUUGUAUCCGAUGCUAUUAAAGAUGCAAAACAAAAUGCUGUUCAAAAUGGUGUUACCAAUUGUGAAUUUUUUGUUGGUAAAGCAGAAGAUAUUUUAUAUCCUAUUAUUCAAAGGGCAACAAAAUCUCGUAUUGUAGCUGUGGUUGAUCCACCAAGAGCUGGUAUACAUCAAAAAACAUUAUUAACGUUACGUAAAACGAGAAAAUUGACAAGAUUAGUUUAUAUAUCUUGUGACCCUCGAGCAGCUAUGAGAAACUUGAUAGAUCUCUCAAGACCAAGAUCGAAACAAUAUUACGGAGAACCUUUUGUACCGAUAAAAGCUAUUGCCGUGGAUAUGUUUCCUCAUACGAAACAUUGUGAAUUAAUAAUAUGCCUUGAAAGAUUAUCCGAAGUAACAAACUCAAAUGUUAAUUCUUGAAAGUAUUCAAAUUAAAUAUUUUUUAAAUGGGAAAAAUGUAUGUACAUUUAUGUUGUAUUUUUGAAUUAUCGAUAUCAAUAAUAAUUUAUGUACGAUAUGAGACCAAGGACAUGUCCUUUUAAACGGAUAGAUAGAAAAAUUAUUUCAAUAAUUAAACUUUAUUUAAUAUCGCAUCAUUCUAUAAUUAUGACAUAUAGCAAAUAUAAUUCUUAAUAAUUUUAAUGGAUGUUAUCUAGCAUUUCAAAAUACGCGUCACUUAUUCAAAAUCAAGAUAAAAAAAAAAGAAAAAACAAUUAGAGAGAAUAAAACCAAUUGGAUAAAAUCAAUUAGAUAAAAAAGAUUAGAUAAAAAAAAUUAGAUAAAAAUCUAAAUGAUCUUUCAAACGAUCACAUUAUGGAAAUACGUAAAUUAAUUAAUUUAUAGCUUACCUUUCAUCAAUUAAGUUUUAAUAUAUCAAUGCUUUUACAGAGAGGCACUAUUUUUAUUCUUUUUUUCAUUAAUAUUCAUUAUUUUUUUAGAAGCUUCGUCGUACGUUCAUUUUCGAUCUUACCUUGAAGAGAAAAUUGUUUGAGAUUUAAGAUUGCAUAAAAUGCGAUUGACAAGUAACACGAAGCGUAUCAAUAAAAAUAUUCUUUCAUUUUGUCAAGGAACUCGAGAGCACAGUCGAGAUUAAAAACAUUUAUUUAUCGCGAUUUUGUAUCGAUGAAAAAUCGUAUUUGUUCUUAUAGAUAAUGUAUUUGUUGCUGUUAAUCAUUAUGCAAUAUCAGCCAUGGAAAAAGUCAUCGAUCGUUGAUCAGAAAUUAGGAAUAAAAUUGAUAAUUGAAAAUGUUUAGAGCCGAAGGUACCAUCUGUGAAUUGGCAACUUGAAUCGGUGGAGCUGAUCUUGUUAAAGCCUUGCCGCUUCCUAUCUCUGCUCUUCCUUGAUUAUCAACAACCUUUUGCAAGGCUAUCAUCAAUUGAUCGAACAAAAGAGCUGCUCUUUUUGGCACCACAACCUGUUAACGAGAAUGGAAUUAAAGAAAACAUUAGAAUAAGAAAUUGAAUAUGAUCAUCAAAACACGCUGAUUGGUUAAUGAAACGACGGGAUGGCCAAUUAGAUUAGUCGUAUUAUCGCUGGAAGCGAUCCCCAAACUUGUUGGUUCCUAUUUGAAUCCAAUUAUCCUUCAUUUAUCUAAUCGAUAAUAAACGAUCGAGAAGUUAUCUAUCUAUGUAAGGAAGAUUUAAGUAUCAUUUAUAAAAAGAUUUCCGUUUGCGCACGUGUCUGUUUUUCAAAUUAUUUACAAAAGAUCCUCGAUGCACGAUUGUAUCCUUGUGUAUAUUUAAAUUUGACUGACGUAGUAUUGCAAAAAAAAAUGGCGACAACCGGUAAAGGAUUCAGUCAUCGAACUGGAGACGAUUAAAAUAUUGAAUAACAGAAAUCAGGCAUUAUUACAAGUCAUCGUUUCUAUUCUCGCUCGAGUGAAAAUCAGAACGAUAAACAGAAAUUUCUGGGUUGGCAAAUAUGUGGUGGGUGUAAACAUCGAACCAAUGACCGAGAGAAAUGGAGGAAACGAGAAAGAAAAUGACAAUUUUCUUGCAAUCUUGCAACUCUUGUCGAUUUUAUUUAUACGAUCGAUUUCCCAAAGGAUAAUCGGGAUAAUCGAGAUUGGCAGACGGGUCGUUGUCGGCGGCGUUUCUUUUAACGACGAAACGUUGAUCAACGUUAGCAACAAUGAUGCACGGUAAUAUUAUAGCAAGAAGAAGCAACGAACGGAUUAUAUUCCUUCCCAUUGUGAAUUAUUACUAAUUCAACCGAAUAUCAAUUAAAAUUCUUCAUCCAACGUUAAAUAAAUUGUCUUACGUCGAAAUUUA